AAUCAACGCUGGCGGCGUGCCUCAGACAUGCAAGUCGAACGCGAAAUUUCCCUUCGGGGAGAAAGUAGAGUGGCGCACGGGUGAGUAACACGUAGGUAAUUUGCCUUUGGGUGGGGAAUAACUCAGGGAAACUUGAGCUAAUACCGCAUAAUGCAGCGGCUCGACAUCGAGACAGUUGUUAAAGCGGGGGAUUGGAGCAAUCCGACCUCGCGCCUAAAGAGAAGCCUGCGGCAGAUUAGCUAGUUGGUAAGGUAAUGGCUUACCAAGGCGACGAUCUGUAACCGGCCUGAGAGGGCGGUCGGUCACACUGACACUGACAUACGGGUCAGACUCCUACGGGAGGCAGCAGUCGGGAAUUUUGGGCAAUGGGCGCAAGCCUGACCCAGCAACGCCGCGUGAAGGAUGAAAUUUUUCGGAAUGUAAACUUCGCAAGAACAGG
Molecule: ribosomal RNA, 439 nt
Filed under: uncultured bacterium
Lineage: Bacteria
Description: bacterial SSU rRNA
Rfam family: Bacterial small subunit ribosomal RNA
Source: RNAcentral